This 810-nucleotide long non-coding RNA is filed under the name Bos taurus (domestic cattle). RNAcentral describes it as "long non-coding RNA NONBTAT020556". The record is from RNAcentral. Lineage: Eukaryota; Metazoa; Chordata; Mammalia; Artiodactyla; Bovidae.
CAUGCUGUGAUAUAGAGAUUCCUGAUUUUGAUGCUUACAAUAGAUGAGAAUGAGUCAACUUGUGUUGUUUGCAUUGAUAAAGGUUUAGAUUGCAAGAGGUUUUUUUUUUUCUCCCCUAGAGUAUUACUUUAGAGUAAAAGCAAUACUGUGAAGAGUAUAAAUGUUCUAGCACAAUUGUUGCUUUUUCUACAUUGAGUAAUUAGCUCAAUUUUCUAGAAAGUAUGCAAGUGAUGACAUAGAUUUUUCUAGGUGCAAGGGGUCAAGAACUAGAGUUACUAAUAACUCUGCCUAUAACCUGUGAUUGGUCCAUGACAGCCUCAUAGUAAAUUGUGGCCACAACUAUUUGAUCAUGGACACACCUAAAAACUGUCUAUUCAGUAUGUGACUCUUGAAAAGAAUCCCUGAAGUUUAAGAUGUCCUGUUGAUUAACGUUGCUGUUUCUAGAUGGGGGAGAGAAGUGAGAGGGCUGUUUUUGUCUUCGAAUCAAUAUUUCUUUUCCUCCAAAGUACAAAUUAAACCUCAAAUUUUCCUUUCAUUAAACCUGGCUAAGUUUUUAAAAAGUAUUUCUAGGCCUUCCUCAUGUAUAUAAACUAUAUGUGACUACAUCAUUUCUAGGAUUAUUUUAUACUUCUGUAUCCUGUGAUUUGAGAAAUCUGAUCGUAGCCAUAUGGCUUUUGAGUAUACAUAAAAAAUCCCAUGCCUUCCCUAACUAGAAAAUAUAUGCCUGGCAAGGACACUCACUUCUACUUUUUUUUUUAAACAAAAGAAAAUUUAGAAAUGUUUUAGAGCUCGAACAAGGCACACAUCAUC